GUUUGAUCCUGGCUCAGAAUGAACGCUGGCGGCGUGCCUAACACAUGCAAGUCGCACGAGAAAGUCUGCCUUCGGGCGGGCGAGUAAAGUGGCGCACGGGUGAGUAACGCGUAGGUAAUCUACCCCCGGAACCGGGAUAACAGUGCGAAAGUGCUGCUAAUACCGGAUACGAUCUUUUGGCGGGAGCUGAAAGGUGAAAGUCGGCCUCUCGAAGAAGCCGGUGCUCGGGGAUGAGCCUGCGUCCUAUCAGCUAGUUGGCAGGGUAACGGCCUACCAAGGCGACGACGGGUAGCUGGUCUGAGAGGAUGAUCAGCCACACUGGCACUGAAACACGGGCCAGACUCCUACGGGAGGCAGCAGUGAGGAAUUUUGCGCAAUGGGAGCAAUCCUGACGCAGCAACGCCGCGUGGGUGAUGAAGGCCUCGGUCGUAAG
RNAcentral lists this ribosomal RNA (433 nucleotides) under uncultured bacterium. RNAcentral describes it as "bacterial SSU rRNA". It matches the Rfam family "Bacterial small subunit ribosomal RNA", at positions 11 to 429 of the family's 1533-position model. The record is from RNAcentral.